Molecule: long non-coding RNA, 1872 nt
Filed under: Bemisia tabaci
Lineage: Eukaryota; Metazoa; Arthropoda; Insecta; Hemiptera; Aleyrodidae
Description: lncRNA ENSSSA1NGG008883
Source: RNAcentral
AUGCCGUUGCACGGGUUACAUAAUCGUCCAUUUGAAGGCGCUACAAAAACUGCUCGCUCUCUAGCGGCGCUCGUCAACAUGUCAACUCACAACAAAACAAUCGUAGCGCCGGCUACUGGAAACUGGAAAUCUUGUUGUGUCCUCGCUUGUGAGUUUUAUUUCACAAUAUUCACAUUUGUACUUCUGGAAAGUUUCUUUAUUCACCCACGACUAAACACUAGAGUGGACAAACCUGUUAUUUCUAUUUCAUACCUUACUUACUUCAUUCGUGUUGGUUCAAUCACAAUGGCAACAACAUCAAUCGUAAAUGUGACAAGCUCCCAAUAGUCAAGGUAUCUUCGUCUGCGAUUAUGUUGAAUUGGAACCGAUAAAUCCCAACAAGAAAUAAUUUCUCGUAAAUGUUUGCCUGCUGUUUUGUACCAAAUUUAAUUAUUUUUAAGAGUGUUUCAAAGAUUUUCAAAAACUGUUUAACUACCUACAAGUAUUCAUUUAUUUUGUUCCUAUGAUUACUACUACAUUUUAAAUACUGAGUAUGAAUAAAGCUUCUUUUGUUCUUGAAAUUUUGUUUUCAACGUAUGUUUUUCCAAUCGUACUUUGUGUUUAGUUCCAUGGAGAAUGGAGAUAGGUACCAAUGCAUAUCAUGUGUAAAAAAGGAUUCGUACAAAUAAGUAUUCUCUUUUAACAGCUAAAACCAUGCCCUUUUCAAAGAAAGCUGGUUGACAGCAGUUCAGUUUUGUAUUACGUAUGUAAGUAAUGUCCUUUUGAAUCUCUCUGAAAAAAUUUUAUACCUAACUUUUUACGUAUAAAAUGAGUCAUCUACAGCCAUACAAGUAGGUGUCAAAUUGCAAUGCCAUGCAACAUGAAAGAAUCGCAACAUUUUGAGAAAAAAUACUGUUCAUUGAGACUUGCAACGUCUUGAUGCAAUCGUGUUUUCAUGGCUUUGAAUGUUGUUUUUAAUGACUAAUUUUCAUCGUAAAAUUUAGGAUAUUGAAAGGAAACACCUGUUUUUUUAUCCAUCCUAGUGGUUUUCGAUCAUAGGUACGCAUGUUUUUUCUGCUUUCCUCAAGGACAACAGAAAAACAUAUCGCUUCCCCUUUCAGCAGUGGAUGAAAUGAGUCCUGAAUUAACUCCCUUGAGGACGUUGAAAGAAAAUUUACAAUGGACCAUCCAACGUUUCCAGCUUGUAAAAAUGUAUUAUCUACUUUUCCUGACAACAGUACUUAAAACAUACACAAUUGAACAAAAAUUCGCUGAUUUUUCAACUAUUCAUGAGUAGAUGAAAAACCAAAAUCAAUUGAUCCUGUUUAAAUCUGAACAAAUCAAUUUUUUUCAUUAUGUUUUAAGUAGCUGUCCUCGUGAAAAGUAGAAAAGAUAUUUGCAUAAGCUGGAAAGGUUGGAUGGUCCAUGGCAAAUUUUCGUUCAACGUCCUCGAGGGAUUUAAUUCAGGGCUCAUCUCAUCCACUGCUGGAAAGGGAGGGAGGACUGAUAACACUUUUAUAACGAUGUCCACACAAUAUUCUAGGAAUAUUUUGCGGAUUUUACAAAUAUCCUGAGGUCAUCCUGACAAUAUUCUGUGGACUUUUCAAGUAAUUUUUUCAAAUAUCCCUAGAAUGUUCACACAAUAUUUUGGGGAUUUUCAAAUAUCCCCAGAAUAUUCUGGGGAUUUCGUUUUGUCUCACGAAAAUGUUCUGAGAAUGUUGUGAGAAUAUUCCGGAAUAUUCUCACAACAUUGUCAGAACGUUUUGAAUUUGCCUCGAAAUAUUAUCAGAACGUUCACAGAAUAUUAGGCUGCUAACUGGGCUGUACUAACUUGGAAAUGAAAAAAAUAAACGGAUAUAUUAGCUAUGGUAGGGUUGGAGUUUCGAAAAAUUU